AUUGAACGCUGGCGGCAGGCCUAACACAUGCAAGUCGAGCGAGCGGCGGACGGGUGAGUAAUGUCUGGGAAACUGCCUGAUGGAGGGGGAUAACUACUGGAAACGGUAGCUAAUACCGCAUACCAUCAGAUGUGCCCAGAUGGGAUUAGCUAGUAGGUGGGGUAACGGGUCACCUAGGCGACGCUCCCUAGCUGGUCUGAGAGGAUGACCAGCCACACUGGAACUGAGAAACGGGCACGAUUCCGACGGGAGGCAGCAGGGGGGAAUAUUGGACAAUGGGCGCAAGACUGAUGCAGCCAUGCCGCGGGUGUGAAGAAGGCCUUCGGGUUGUAAAGCACUUUCAGCGGGGAGGCGUUACCCGCAGAAGAAGCACCGGCUAACUCCGUGCCAGCAGCCGCGGUAAUAC
This 406-nucleotide ribosomal RNA is filed under the name uncultured bacterium. Its description in RNAcentral is "partial 16S ribosomal RNA". It matches the Rfam family "Bacterial small subunit ribosomal RNA", at positions 29 to 526 of the family's 1533-position model. The record is from RNAcentral.